This 469-nucleotide ribosomal RNA is filed under the name uncultured bacterium. RNAcentral describes it as "partial 16S ribosomal RNA". It matches the Rfam family "Bacterial small subunit ribosomal RNA", at positions 28 to 507 of the family's 1533-position model. The record is from RNAcentral.
GACGAACGCUGGCGGCGUGCUUAACACAUGCAAGUCGAACGAUGAUCUCCCGCUUGCGGGGGUGAUUAGUGGCGAACGGGUGAGUAAUACGUGAGUAACCUGCCCUUGACUCUGGGAUAAGCCUGGGAAACCGGGUCUAAUACUUGAUACUACUUCCUGCCGCAUGGUGGGGGGUGGAAAGGGUUUUACUGGUUUUGGAUGGGCUCACGGCCUAUCAGCUUGUUGGUGGAGUAAUGGCUCACCAAGGCGACGACGGGUAGCCGGCCUGAGAGAGUGACCGGCCACACUGGGACUGAGACACGGCCCAGACUCCGACGGGAGGCAGCAGUGGGGAAUAUUGCACAAUGGGAGGCAGCCUGAUGCAGCGACGCCGCGUGAGGGAUGACGGCCUUCGGGUUGUAAAACUAUUUCAGCAGGGAAGAAGCCACAAGUGACGGUACCUGCAGAAGAAGCGACGGCUAACUACGUG